Long non-coding RNA from Heterocephalus glaber (naked mole-rat), 716 nucleotides. The record is from Ensembl. Lineage: Eukaryota; Metazoa; Chordata; Mammalia; Rodentia; Bathyergidae.
GCAGGGGAAGCGGAAAAAAUAAGGUACAAAUUUCCAAUGAUGAAUAUCAUUAUAUUGUAUACCUAAAAUGUACCAAUAAAAUUAAUUUAAAAAUUAAUCUCUACAAAUGAGAACAUUUAACCCUAUUUAUUCAUUCCUUAAGGGUGAGCUAAGCUUGAAACGGUGCUGAGAACUAUGUUCACGUCCAGCACAAACAGAUCAAAAUUGACCCACACAGAGGGAAUUAGAGUAUUUGCCUGGUUGACUGAUGCACGCAGUCUUUCUGGAACACAGCGACAACAACAAAUAGCAGUCACUCAGUUCUUUCUUGGUACCAGGCGCGCUUCAAGUAACCUCUGAUGAUUAUAAGAUUUAAACCUCGUUUCCUUUCUGAAGACUGGAGAUGAGAAAAUGGAAACCUAGGGAGGUUAACAGCUUGAAGGCCACAAGGCAGAGCUCAACCCCAGGACUCUGACAACGCUGCUGGCUGUUAAUCACUGACUUGUACCACUCUGUGUGACCGCAGAAGCUUAAGGGAUUCUCUCGAGGAUCACAGUUACUCUGAUGACGUGGGAAGCAGGGCUGCGAGAGAUUUGAGCAACAAAUUUUAAAAUGACCAGGAUUGCAGUCAACAUGAUACAGUCGUCUGAACAUCCUUCACAGGUUUUGAACAGUUGUGGCUUUGAUGAAAUGGUAUUAUUUCAACAUUUUCGUUAUGGGAACAUAAAAAUAAUUUC